GCCUAUUCAUUUCCUUCUCUACGUCUACGCUUUUUCCCGUUUUCUCCCAAUUAGCCACGACUAAACCCCGUUAUUUGUGGCAACUUCCCACGUGUACACCAACACUCUUUAAUGUUUCUACUCUAAAUACCAAAUAUAGAUUCGCACGUAGAUAUAGUAUAUUUGAUAUUUACACAAAAUAUAUCUUGUAUUCAUCGUCUUUUCCACUAAAUCCCUUCUUUGCCAGACCAAUUAAGACUAGUCUUAGUCUAAACUUAUAUAUCCCGUGGCCGGAUUUAGAUUAGAUCUCUGCCAAUAGACAGCUUUGAAAUUUCUAGUAGGUAUAUAUGCUCAAGACAGCAUUUUAAUGAAAUUAUUCUUUCCUUUUUAUUUUAUGAGAGGAACAGACCUGAGAGAAAAUAUCAGAAGACAUUAAUAAGAUUUCAACCCUACAAUUUUGUGAGAGGAAGAGACUAUGGGGAAUAUUAGUUAAAAUACUAAUGGAGUAUAUGAAUGUGCACCAAUAGUUUUAUCCAGUGUGGAAAAAGAGAGAGACAACAUUGCAAAUAGGAUUGAGCCAUUGAGGCAUGGAAGAAAUCAAGAAAUUAAAUGCGCUUGUGCCUUGUUCACAGGAGACUAAGGACUCCAAUUUUAACCUGGCUUUAUGCAUUGACUAGCCAUGUCAUGGAAUUCUUUAGUAUGUAGCAAUAUUUCACUGUGUCAACUUGAAACUCUUGCCUAAUUAAUAACCAUGAUUUUCUGCUCC
This is a long non-coding RNA of Lycium ferocissimum, 745 nucleotides long. RefSeq lists it as uncharacterized. The transcript has 2 exons. The record is from RefSeq and is a predicted model, not a curated record. NCBI's taxonomy places the organism in Eukaryota, Viridiplantae, Streptophyta, Magnoliopsida, Solanales, Solanaceae.